GGAGUUAGCCGGUGCUUCUUCUGCGAGUAACGUCACAGAUGUAAGGUAUUAACUUACACCCUUUCCUCCUCGCUGAAAGUGCUUUACAACCCGAAGGCCUUCUUCACACACGCGGCAUGGCUGCAUCAGGGUUUCCCCCAUUGUGCAAUAUUCCCCACUGCUGCCUCCCGUAGGAGUCUGGGCCGUGUCUCAGUCCCAGUGUGGCUGAUCAUCCUCUCAGACCAGCUAGGGAUCGUCGCCUAGGUGAGCCUUUACCUCACCUACUAGCUAAUCCCACCUGGGCUUAUCCAUCAGCGCAAGGCCCGAAGGUCCCCUGCUUUCCCCCGUAGGGCGUAUUCGGUAUUAGCAGUCGUUUCCAACUGUUAUCCCCACAAAUGGGCAAAUUCCCAGGCAUUACUCACCCGUCCGCCGCUCGUCAUCUUCAAAAGCAAGCUUUUGAAAUGUUACCGCUCGACUUGCAUGUGUUAGGCCUGCCGCCAGCGUUCAAUCUGAGCCAGGAUCAAACUCUGA
RNAcentral lists this ribosomal RNA (510 nucleotides) under uncultured bacterium. RNAcentral's name for it is "partial 16S ribosomal RNA". The record is from RNAcentral.